GAUGAACGCUGGCGGCGUGCCUAAUACAUGCAAGUCGAGCGAACAGACGAGGAGCUUGCUCCUCUGACGUUAGCGGCGGACGGGUGAGUAACACGUGGAUAACCUACCUAUAAGACUGGGAUAACUUCGGGAAACCGGAGCUAAUACCGGAUAAUAUAUUGAACCGCAUGGUUCAAUAGUGAAAGACGGUUUUGCUGUCACUUAUAGGUGGAUCCGCGCCGCAUUAGCUAGUUGGUAAGGUAACGGCUUACCAAGGCAACGAUGCGUAGCCGACCUGAGGGGGUGAUCGGCCACACUGGAACUGAGACACGGUCCAGACUCCUACGGGAGGCAGCAGUAGGGAAUCUUCCGCAAUGGGCGAAAGCUUGACGGAGCAACGCCGCGUGAGUGAUGAAGGUCUUCGGAUCGUAAAACUCUGUUAUUAGGGAAGAACAAAUGUGUAAGUAACUAUGCACGUCUUGACGGUACCUAAUCAGAAAGCCACGGCUAACUACGUG
Molecule: ribosomal RNA, 497 nt
Filed under: uncultured bacterium
Lineage: Bacteria
Description: partial 16S ribosomal RNA
Rfam family: Bacterial small subunit ribosomal RNA
Source: RNAcentral